UUAUGUAAAAUCAGUUCACUUUUUUUUAAUCUAUUUUUUAAAACUUAUAUGGGUACAUUUUUCUCGUUGAUUUGAAAAUGUAUUCACGUCAAGUUAUUCGAAGAAAUUUAUUAAUGUUAUUAAACCUAGUAUUCAUUAUUAUUAUUUUUCAUGGAUUUGAAGAAUGUACCCAUGUUUUCGGUUUGAAGAAUUUACCAAAUGUUUUAUGGUACAAUAACUUUUGGUUUAUAUUGAUGAAUGUACUAUAUAUAUGUACACAAUAUGUUUUACAAUAUGUGUGUACAUACUUUUUAUGGCAAAACAUGAUUUUCAACACCUGGCAGAAAUGACUUAUUUCAUCUAUAAUAUUAUAUUCAAAAUUAGGCCUUGUAAAAUUCUGUAAAUAGAAGGCAAUUUCAUUCAUUUAGGGGAACCAAAAACCACAUAUUCAAAAUCCUUGAAGCUUUGAAACUCUAAAGCUCUCAAGCAAAUCCCGAAGAAUCAAGAAAGCCCUCUUCGUUCUUCGUCAAAUCCUCAUCCAAGAUCAAGCCCCGACGGCCCUUGGAUCAACAAUCCACCAAUUCAAGAUCAAGCCCCGACGACCCUUGAAGAAAUUGUUCAUCGUUCGUCAUUCAUUCAUCCUAAGAUCAAGCCCCAACGGCCCUUUGGAUCAACAAAUGUCGACAAAGCCAUACAUCCAACCGUUCUUCAAGAUCAAGCCCAAAAGCUCUUGAAGAUCCGUUCAUCACCGUUCUUCAAGAUCAAGCCUCAACGGCCCUUGAAGAAACACUCAUCCUCAAGAUCAAGCCUCAACGACCCUUGAAGAAACAAUCAUCCUCAAGAUCAAGCCCCAACCGCUCUUUGAAGAUCCGCUCAAAUCCACUUUCAAAGAUCAAGCCCACGGCCCUUGAAGAAACUUUCAACCGUUCAUCCAAGAUCAAGCCUCAACGGCCCUUGGAUCAAUCGCACAUCCACAUUCAACACCUUACGGAGAUCGAAUCAGAGGAUCCUAAAAUUCACAAAUACAUUUCUCUACUCCCAAAAUGGAAGAGAAUACUCCCCACAUAUCCAAAAUCCUUGAAGCUUUGAAACUCUAAAGCUUUCAAGCAAAUCCCGAAGAAUCAAGAAAGCCCUCUUCGUUCUUCGUCAAAUCCUCAUCCAAGAUCAAGCCCCGACGGUCCUUGAAGAAAUUGUUCAUCAUUCAUCAUUCAUUCAUCCUAAGAUUAAGCCCCAACGGCCCUUUGGAUCAACAAACGUCGACAAAGCCAUACAUCCAACCGUUCUUCAAGAUCAAGCCCAAAAGCCCUUGAAGAUCCAUUCAUCACCGUUCUUCAAGAUCAAGCCUCAACGACCCUUGAAGAAACACUCAUCCUCAAGAUCAAGCCCUAACGGCUCCUUGAAGAUCCGCUCAAAUCCACCUUCAAAGAUCAAGCCCAUGGCCUUUGAAGAAACUUUCAACCGUUCAUCCAAGAUCAAGCCUCAAUGGCCCUUGGAUCAAUUGCACAUCCACAUUCAACACCUUACGGAGAUCGAAUCAGAGGAUCAAAUUUGAGAGAGAUUGUAAACCCAAAAUCAUCAAAUACAAAUAUUAUUUUGUGCACGUGUUCUUGUUUCUUUCAUUUAAGGAAAAAUUCGUGUUCACAAAUUUGGCACGCACGGUGGGACUAUCUCUACCUCUCAUCUCUUUCUCCGUUCAAGAAAUUCAAGCACACUUCCAAAAUCAAUGGCAUCAAGCAAAGGAUAAGCCGUUAUCAUAAAGGGAAGAAGCCUGAUCACUUCCGCCAUGAACGGAGCAUCCAUUGACGCCACAAUCGCUCCUCAACAUGCCACUUCAAAGUUGGUGCCACUAAAGGAUCAAGGGGAGCAUCAAAGACGCAAGUCCGUUAUCAACCUGACCUCGUUGGGGGCACCGAAGCAUGAUGCUGAGGCACAUAAGAUGACAUCCCAAAGCAGCCAACGACGUUCUUCGUCAGCAUCCUGGAUGUCUAAAGGAAAGUCACAUCUAUUGGUUGCACAAGUCAUGACUAUCGGCAUUACCUCAAUCGAAGAACAACUGGCUCAAAUGAAUGAAGCGAUUGCAAGGCUAACACAGAUUGUGGAAGAAAAAGACUUGCAAAUCGAUGCACUCGUCAACCGACUGGAGCCACAGGACGGCGAGAACCCUAACCCAGAAGAUGAUCCACUAAAAAAAGGAGCUGGCGAAGAAGAUGAGCCUUUGGUGGAGAGAAUCGAUGUGAAGCCGAAGCCAGACCAAGCAGCGGCACUCAUGGGAUCUCUUUCUAUCCAGCAGCUGCAGGAGAUGAUCACUAACACCAUCAAGGCACAGUACGAAGGGAGCUCAAAUACCUCCGGGUUGUACUCGAAGCCUUAUUCAAAGAAGAUUGACGCCUUAAGGAUGCCGAAGGGUUAUCAACUGCCAAAGUUCAUGCAAUUUGAUGGAAAGGAAACCCGAAACAGCACGUUGCCCACUUUGUUGAAACUUGCAACAACGCAGGGACCGAAGGGGACUACCUCGCCAAGCAGUUUAUGCGUUCGCUGAAAGGAAACGCCUUUGAGUGGUACACAGACCUAGAGCCUGAGUCCAUCAACAGCUGGGAGCAAAUGGAGCAAGAAUUCCUCAACCGCUUCUACAGCACCCGCCGCACUGUGAGCAUGCUAGAGCUAACGAGCACAAAGCAGUGGAAAGACGAGCUAGUCAUUGACUACAUCAACAGAUGGCGCACUCUAAGCCUCGAUUGUAAAAAUAGGCUCUCGGAAACCUCUUCAAUCAAGAUGUGCAUCCAAGGCAUGCAAUGGGGUUUGCAAUACAUCCUUCAAGGCAUUAAACCACGGACCUUUGAGGAAUUGGCCACUCGCACCCAUGACAUGGAGUUAAGCAUCGCUCAUCAUGGGAAGAAAGAACCAAUCGCCGACUACAAGAAUGACAAAGUUGUUGGGCCAAAGGUGGAGAAGACUGCAUAGAAACCCACCAAGGAAGCAAUGACGAUCAACACAGCUCCCGUCAAAAUCCCUACACGAGGCAAGGCGAUUCAAGCCGAAGCUUUUCCUGAUCAAGAGAUGCGUAGACGCACUUUAAAGGAGCUUGAUGAGAAGACUUAUCCAUUCCCUGACUCUGAUGUGGUUGCCAUGCUGGAUGACCUAUUGGACAAGAAAGUGAUCGGUAAAUUCCACCGCUUCAUCAGUCAUCCGACAGAAAAGUGCUUCGUGCUGAAAGAUCUCAUCAUGAAGCUGGCUCAGAAAGGAAUCAUUAAGCUAGAUCUUGACGAUGUGGUGAAGUCAAACUAUACCACCAUCACUUCUGGCUCUUUCGACUCAAAGUUUUUACCUCAACUGUCGGGGGCAUUCUCCAAGACAAGCAAAGUUGAAGGAUGGACUCAAGUCACUCCUAAGAAAUUGCACAAGAAGCAUACGUCUCCUCCACAAGUCCGCCAAUCAGAAAGGGGGCAAAGCAGCUCUUGUCAACCUUCAAAGCAACGUGAACGUGUUGAAGAUGAUGAAAUUUUGACACACAGAUCGUCCAUCCCCAUCACGAUGCACGAUUUCUUUCCUGAAGACUUCUUCAAUCACUCGGUCAAGACUCCUUAUUAUGAAAAUUGCAAGGAAUGCCUCUCCAGGAUCGUUUAACAAGUUCACAAAGCUCCUUGUCCACAAGAACCUAAACUGCAGAACACCAACGCUCCUGGUCUGCACGAGCAUAAAAGGCAACACCAACGCUCCUGGUCUGCACGAGCAUAAAAGGCAACACCAACGCUCUUAGUCCGCACGAGCCUAAAAGGCGACAAAACAAACGCUCCUUGCUUGCACGAGCCUAAACUGCAUGGCACAACACUCCUGGUCUGCACGAGCAUAAAAGGCAACACCAACGCUCCUGGUCUCCAUGAGCAUAAAAGGCAACAUCGAUGCUCCUGGUCUGUACGAGCAUAAAAGGCGACACCAAUAGCUCAUUGCUUGCACGAGUUGAAAUUGCAAAACGGAACCAAAAGAAAAUACCAAAUAUAUAUAUAUAUAUAUGUAUUUGAACUACGUUACGACUUGAUCUCUUCUUUUGAGGGGUACGUAGGCAGCUCGAAUAUUCAAAAUUUGAGUUAAGUCAAACCAAAAUAAGGAAUAAAGAUUUUAUUAAAAGUUUGAUGCUAUUACAAUUUCUUUGUACAAAAAAAAAAAAAAGAAGAAGAAAAAAAAAAAAAAAAAAAAAGAUACAUGUUUUAUGUAUUUACAAAAAAAGAAAAAAAAAGAAAAAAUACAUAUGUUUUAUGUAUUAAUAUAUAUAAUAUAUAUAUAAUAUAUAUAUAUAUAUAUAUAAUAUAUAUAUAUAUAUUUAUAUAAGUGGCCACAAGAAGCAACCCCUUUAGCCAAAAUUCUACAAGCGGCUCCUAGAGCCCAAUCUGUCAGCAAGUCAAAGACUACUUCUCCAAGGUUCAGGACACGGCCCACACUAGUUUUGGCCCAAUCAAAGGUCAGAGUGAGGUGGGCAUCUUAAAUCCUCCAGAAUCCAAGGGUGCAGAGCAAUAAGAGAAAGAGGCCCUUGUUUGCCCUCUCGAUGUUCCUCCAAAAAUCCUUGUAAGUGCAGUAACAGAUCUCGCUUCAUUUUCUGCACCUCCGUCGCGGCAAUAAGAAAGAUCCUUCACAUCCAGGAAGACUAAUGCGGCAAUCAGAUCAGCUCCAAGUUCUGAGAGGUCAUCUGUGACGAGCCCAACGUUGACCCCACUGGAAGGUACCGCGGAGACAUCGACUCCGAUCUCCAGCUCGAGAGGAAUACCAUGAUUGAUCAGGUCUCAACGCUCGAGCUCAUCAGAUACCACAUUUUCGGCGAGUUCUCACCAGUGAAGAGCUGCGCCACAAGGUCCAGUUCAUCAGUAUCAUCCGCAUGAGGAAGCAUAAUCUCGACGCCAGCCUUGAGCCUCGCUCCUAGCCGUGCGUUCUUGCGGUUUCAAAACCUCGUCCCCAUCAACGCCGUCACUUCUGAAGAUUCUGACGGUGAUGGUGCCACCAAAGGCUCUGUCUCUUUCACUGCAGCUGCAACUUCACUUGACGAUGAAGAAGAUGCAACUUUGGGAGUUAGAUACUGCGUAAAGCUCCCAUCCUCGCCCAGCGUUGCUCCUCGUCUUCCGCUGCAACUCCUUCACUCCAAGCUCAUCUGCAUGGCGCAUCACGAUCUCGUCCGUCUUUUCCUCUGCAAGGCAGCAAAAAAUGCAGUGGUUGUGCAAUGGCGACGGUGCAAGGCAACAAGAAUGCAGUGGCAAUGUAAUGGUUGUACAGUGGCGGUGCAAGGCAGCAAAAAAUGCAGUGGCUAUGUAAUGGUGGCGGUGCAAGGCAGCAAAAAAUGCAGUGGCAAGCAGCAACGACAAUGCAUUCUGGCCACCAUGAUCAAAAUCGACAAAGAACUUCAAAUAACCGCCGUCAAACGACUAGCCGAUCAUGAAGCUCGACGUCUUACAUUUUGCCUUAAGCUCUAGCAACUCCGCCAUCUCUGCAGCUCUCCCCUUCUGCCCAUCAACUCCAAGCAGCAACGGCAAGCGACAAGGUCAAUGUGCAUGGCAAAGGCACCACCGAGGGAAAACUGUGAUCAAAGGUACUACACAGCAAAUCCCCACUGCAGUCUUUAUCACAGCACCACACGGUAAAGGCACCACCGAGAGAAAACUGUGAUCAAAAGCACUACACAGCAUCGCUGCAGUCUUUUGCACAACCCCAUACGGUAAAAGUGACGCACUAUGACAAGCUCUAAGCACCAAGACUCACAGCAACGUCACCACCAAGGAAAGUUGUGACCAAAAGGCACUACACAACAUAAACUCGCUGCAGUCUUUUGCACAACCCCACAAGGUAAAAGUGACGCACUGUAACAAGCUCCAAGCGGUAACAGACAGUGCAGCGACUGCAAUGCAGCAAGGAUGGCAACGGACAGUGCAGCAAAGAUGGCAGAUAGUGCAGCGACGGUAGUGCAGCAAGGACAGCAGAACCUGAGCAACCUGGUUCAAUGCAUCUUCUUCUUCCUCUCUACUGUCGGUUUGGUUAAAAGUUAUGGCUCCGCUGCAAUGCGAUGAAAUAGGAGAAGGCAGUAAACCUUUUAUAAAGCCACAAAAGGCAAGCAUUCAUGCUCCUGAGUUCGCAGGAAUAAAAAAAAGAAUAAAAAAAGAAUAAAAAAAAUUAUAAAAGUAUAAUAGUGCACGGCACCAUAGAAAAAAAAUAUGUAUGAGGUCUUUGGUGCAUAGCACCAUCUUAAAAUAAUAAUAAUAAAAAAAAAGUGAAAGGUCUUUUGGUGCUUCACGCACCAUAAGGAUAAAAAAUAAUAAUAAAAAAAUAUAUAAGGGCAAAUAGAAUGGUGCAUCAGGCACCAUAUAUAUAUAUAUAUAUAUAUAUAUAUAUAUAUAUAUAUAUAUAUAUAUAAGGCCAAUUGGAAUGGUGCAUCAGGCACCACUCGGCGGAGCUCCAGGAAGAAGAGGCGCCGGAGGUUGACUAUUUGAAGCCACACCACUCGGCGGAACUCCAGGAAGAAGAGGAGCCGGAGGUUGAUCAUGUGGAGCUUCAUUACGCGAUACAGCCUCAGAAGACGAAGGCAAAUGCUGUUGGAACAUACCCACAAACCUCUGAUGAUCAAGUAAAAUCUGACCAUCAGAUUCCUGCAUCUGGUCAAUCUUCCUCUUCAUGUUUGUAGCAUAGUUAUGUGCGAGCUUGUGCAACUGUUUAUUCUCAUGCUUGAGCCCUCUAAUCUCUUGUUUGAGACUCAUCACUUCAGCCGCCAAUGAUUCAACUUGACGGGUUCGAGCAAAUAGGCGUUGGGCCAUAUUAGACACAGAACCUGCACACUGCACACUAAGAGCCAGAGAAUCCUUAACAGCCAACUCAUCAGACCGUUUGGAAAGUAGUCUGUUAUCUCUGGGAGUGACAAGGUUCCAGGCCACCACCGCAACGGUCAUAUCAUUCUUCAUCAUCGAAUCCCCAACGGUAAGAGGACCAGUAGGGGAUAUGAAAAAUAGACGCCAUAUGUUGUUUGGAGAAGGCAUGGCUGCCUCUUCACCAAGGUUCAAGUCAAAAUGACGGUCGGAGGGGCCAAACAUUUUCAGAUAUGUUAAAGAAAGAAGAGGUCGGACAAGUCAAGAUCGUAGAAAUGCAAGAAGGGAGUUUCUACAAGCAGAAAUUCAAGUGUGCUUUGAACGUACUGCGUGCCUCUAUAAAAAUCAGCACUCGACGGGAUUUCAGAGAUCGAAGAGGUGAUCUCAGAAUUCGAAAAGGCCAAUUAAAAAAUUGAAGAGGCAAGCUCAGAAAUCAGAAAGGCAUCUUGCUUUUCCAGACGCGUCAGCACCCGUCACACGCAAACUCAGCUUUGCGAAAAUCACGGGCAAUUUGUCGAAGCGCCGAUCCCAGAUAUCGAAGAGGCGCCAGUCUUUUUCAGCCUCGUCAACACCUGUCAGAUGCACAUUCAGCUUGGCGGAAAUUACGGACAAUUUGUCGAAGAUUUCUGAUGAAGAAGAAAACACGUGAAGCCAUACUGAUCAACCACUCAAUGGUUGCCGACACGAGUGAAAGAAUAGUACCUCUACAGGUAUUAAAGAACUUCCUAUAACUGUCCACCUUCACCCUCCAUAGCAAGGUAGACAUACGGAACCUUUCUUCAUCUCCGAGAAUGCCUUCCCAACGAAGCCUUUCUAGUCAUUCAGUGUUCCUUAUUCCUUGGGGUACCUCUGCAAACAAAUGACACCAAAGCAAAAGUAUCUCAUAUCACCAGGGUAGAAAGCAAGAGUAUCUCAUAUCAUGCGUUCUCCCUGUCCUUUCCUUUGUCAUUGUUCUUACCUGCAAACACAAGGAUAAAGAAAGCAAUAUGCCGGAACCUCCACUCAAACUCGGGUAAGGAACCGACUGCUUGAAACCCUUCCCUGAUUGCCUACCUAACACUGCUCUCGAGUACUCGUCUUCCACUGUUGCUGUACUUCCAAAGAAGCUGCCAUAUCUUCCUGGAGAACAGAUAAAGCAAGUGGAAAUGAUACAUUGCAGCAUGUGGAGACAACAUGCAAAAGAAACAAGCAGAGAAGAAUGCAGCCUGCACAGCCAACUCAGCAGAAGGAGUCCGAGCUGAGGAACUCAAGAAGUUGCCACAUCUGCCUGGAGAACAAAUAAGGAAAUGCGGCAUGCAUAAUAAACUCAGCAGAAGGAGUCCGAGUUGAAGAAUUAGUAAGAAGAAGGGGUCUGAGUUGAAUCCAAGAGCUCGAGAAGCUUCAACAACAUAUCGACGGCACCAUCACCGAAGAGCAAAGCCUCGAUAUGCAACGCUGUCAAAUCGCCACCACUUAUUCGAAAGUAAGAGUAUUUCAUAUCAUGCUUUCUCCCUGUCAUUUUCUUUGUCCUUGUUCUUACCUGCGGGACAAGGAGGAAAAAAGCAAUCAGCCAGCACUUGGUGUCAAACUCCCAGUCAGGAACCGACUGCUUAGAACCCUUCCCUGAUUGCUUACCUAGCACUACUCUCGAAGUACCCAUUAUCUCAACAUCUUAUGUUUCCAGAGAAGAUACCACAUCUGCUUGAAAAAACAAGCAGAGAAGAAUGCAGCCUGCACAGUCAAUUCAGCAGAAGGAGUCUGAGCUGAGGAACUCGAAAAGAUGCCACAUUCUGCCAGAAGAAUAGAUAAGGCAAAGGAAAAUGAUACAUUGAAGCAUGUGGAGACAAGCACAACAAAGCAUGUGCUGAUUCACCCGCAACUUCUUCAAAAGCAAAAGUACCUCAUAUCAUCAGAGUCGAAAGCAAAGAUAUCUCAUGGCAUGCUUUUCCUUUACCCUUGCUCUUGCCUGCAGGACAAGUAGAAAGAAAGCAAUCGGUCGGCACUCGGAAAGAUUGAAGAAAGAAACAGACCAACACCUUCACCUCGUGCCUGCUUACCAUGUGUUCGAGUCAACCUUCAAGAAUCAAGCCUCAACGGCCCUUGAAGAAGCUUCCAGCCAAAUUCAAGAUCAAGCCUCGAAGGCCCUUGAGGAAAUCACAAGUCCGAUUCAAGAUCAAGUGUCCACCACCAUUGAAUCAAACCUAGUUCAAGAUCAAAGCUGUGGUAAGUCAACAAGCGCAAAAACAAAUACGUGCCAAUUCAUCCACUACCAAAGCCAAAGAUCGUCUACCACAUGAAGCUCCUUGUGGUCCAAUUUCAACCUUCAAGAUCAAGCCUCAACGGCCCUUGAAGAAAUCUCAAGCCCAAUUCAAGAUCAAGCCUCGACGACCCUUGAAGAAAUUUUCAGCCCAAUUCAAGAUCAAGCCUCAACGGCCCUUGAAGAAAUCUCAAGCCCAAUUCAAGAUAAAGCCUCAACGGCCCUUGAAGAAAUCUCCAGCCCAAUUCAAGAUCAAGCCUCGACGGCCCUUGGAUCGACAUCUACAUUAAGGGACUUCAAAACGCAUCUCCUACACGCGACAAGCACAUGUAUAUGACGUGCCUUGAAGUGGGGGCAUUUGUAGACAUCGAAAUUUCGGUAAAUAAAUGUUGAUCGAUAAAUCAAAGUUUCAACGUUCAUGUAUUACAUAAAUUUUACACGUAGCGUGUGUCUAAACAAAAAUUUGAAAUAAGUUGGAAAAGUCAUCAAACAGGACACGUGUCAACACCUGGCAGAAAUGACUUAUUUCAUCUGGAAUAUUAUAUUCAAAAUUAGGCCUUGGAAAAUUCUAUAAAUAGAAGCCAAUUUCAUUCAUUUAGGGGAACCAAAAACCACAUAUCCAAAAUCCUUGAAGCUUUGAAACUCUAAAGCUCUCAAGCAAAUCCCGAAGAAUCAAGAAAGCCCUCUUCGUUCUUCGUCAAAUCCUCAUCCAAGAUCAAGCCCCGACGGCCCUUGGAUCAACAAUCCACCAAUUCAAGAUCAAGCCCCGACGGCCCUUGAAGAAAUUGUUCAUCGUUCAUCAUUCAUUCAUCCUAAGAUCAAGCCCCAACGGCCCUUUGGAUCAACAAACGUCGACAAAGCCAUACAUCCAACCGUUCUUCAAGAUCAAGCCCAAA
Molecule: long non-coding RNA, 9947 nt
Filed under: Malus domestica (apple)
Lineage: Eukaryota; Viridiplantae; Streptophyta; Magnoliopsida; Rosales; Rosaceae
Description: long non-coding RNA (MDOM_LNC010126)
Source: RNAcentral